GAUGAACGCUGGCGGCGUGCCUAAUACAUGCAAGUCGAGCGAACAGACGAGGAGCUUGCUUCUCUGACGUUAGCGGCGGACGGGUGAGUAACACGUGGAUAACCUACCUAUAAGACUGGGAUAACUUCGGGAAACCGGAGCUAAUACCGGAUAAUAUAUUGAACCGCAUGGUUCAAUAGUGAAAGACGGUCUUGCUGUCACUUAUAGAUGGAUCCGCGCUGCAUUAGCUAGUUGGUAAGGUAACGGCUUACCAAGGCAACGAUGCGUAGCCGACCUGAGAGGGUGAUAGGCGACACGAGAGCGGAGACGCGGUCCAGACGCCUGCGGGAGGGACCAGAAGGGAAUCUUCCGCAGUGGGGGAGAACCUGACGGAGCAACGCGGCGCGAGAGGUAAAGGUGUUCCGAGCGUGAAAAUCUGUUUUUAGGGGAAAACAUAUGUGUAAGUAGACGUACACAUCUUGACGGUAACUGAUCAGAAAGCCCCGGCUAACUACGUG
Molecule: ribosomal RNA, 497 nt
Filed under: uncultured bacterium
Lineage: Bacteria
Description: partial 16S ribosomal RNA
Rfam family: Bacterial small subunit ribosomal RNA
Source: RNAcentral